CCUGCGGACGGCCGUGGCCAGAGGAGGAGAAGGACGAUGAGAGAUGCCUGGAGGAGGAACAUCGCAUGUCCGCGGGAUGCGCGAGUAACCCGCGGAGGACUUCUGCAAACCACCAGCAUGGUUCAAGGAUGAAGCCGGCGUGGCAGCUGUAAUGGAGCACUGUCCCCUCCACUGGCGGCCCGGGGGGCUUCACCGUCACUCUGCCGUUCUCUAGGGAGGUCCACACCCGCGGACACAGCAGCACUGGGAACCAGAAUAACCACGAAAGAGAGGGAGGCAGAGACACAGAGAGUUAUAGAAAGGUCGAUGGCUGCGUCCACUCGAUCCGUCCCCGUCGCACCACUGCCGCAUGCCCCACCUUCUUUCUUAACUUUGAUAUCGGACUCGGCUCCAACAGGGGGACUCCGCCCAGCGCAGACAGUGGUGCGUCUUCCC
Molecule: long non-coding RNA, 435 nt
Organism: Cottoperca gobio
Lineage: Eukaryota; Metazoa; Chordata; Actinopteri; Perciformes; Bovichtidae
Exons: 3
Source: RefSeq, a predicted model, not a curated record